RNAcentral lists this non-coding RNA (32 nucleotides) under Mus musculus (house mouse). Lineage: Eukaryota; Metazoa; Chordata; Mammalia; Rodentia; Muridae. The record is from RNAcentral.
UAAUGGUCAGUGAAGAGUCUUUGAGACCUCAG